CAUGGAUCUGUACCUGAACUCUGAUACCAUGUGAGAAUAGCUCAAGAGUUGUGAAAGAUUAGAAGAUUAGUGUUAGUUUGAUGAACCCAGCAAACCAACUAUGCAGAAACAAGUUUCUAGGGUUUCAGAAAACAAAGAAGAAAAAUACUUGAGAGUACUUGAAAAAAAUUGAAUUAUAAAUGAA
Molecule: non-coding RNA, 184 nt
Organism: Arachis ipaensis
Lineage: Eukaryota; Viridiplantae; Streptophyta; Magnoliopsida; Fabales; Fabaceae
Source: RefSeq, a predicted model, not a curated record